Ictalurus punctatus (channel catfish) is the source of this 503-nucleotide long non-coding RNA. RefSeq lists it as uncharacterized. The record is from RefSeq and is a predicted model, not a curated record. The transcript has 4 exons. Lineage: Eukaryota; Metazoa; Chordata; Actinopteri; Siluriformes; Ictaluridae.
CUCAGGGCUGGUCUUGUGCUGUGGAGUUCUGAAAGAGAAAGAUAACAGAGAGAGAACGUGACUAUGAUAUCUGCAAACUGAGCCAAGAGGCUAACUGUGCAUUCAAGUCCUCGUGGAAAAUUUGUAUUUAUGACUUGCGAAGUCAUAAUUACGACGUCAGGUGCGCUCGAGUCACUUUGGUCGAAGCAUGCCGGCGGUGUACCUUCUCUUGACUGACUACAAAAAAAUACAGAUGCUGUAACCUCGUGGUGCCUCAAACACAGAUGCUGGAAUUUCACCUCCGUGGCAUGAGUCUAAGCCGAGAAUGCCUGUCUUGUUCCUGCAAUCAGAGGGGUAGAUGUUUUAACACUGAGGAUCUGCAGAGCUGUGUUGUGACCACUGGGGCAGAGAGCCGUGCAGCUACCUGCUCAUCACUGGGCUGCAGAAUCCCCAACAGACUGAGAGCAUUACUUUGAGGACGAGAGGAGGGAGAGGAUGGGAAACAUGGUAGUGUCUCACAGAAC